This 450-nucleotide ribosomal RNA is filed under the name uncultured Diversispora. Its description in RNAcentral is "SSU rRNA". It matches the Rfam family "Eukaryotic small subunit ribosomal RNA", at positions 569 to 1022 of the family's 1831-position model. The record is from RNAcentral. Lineage: Eukaryota; Fungi; Glomeromycota; Glomeromycetes; Diversisporales; Diversisporaceae.
AGCAGCCGCGGUAAUUCCAGCUCCAAUAGCGUAUAUUAAAGUUGUUGCAGUUAAAAAGCUCGUAGUUGAAUUUCGGGAUUCGUCCAUUGGUCAGGCUUAACUGUCUGUACUGGUGUGUCGGAUUUCUACCUUCUGAAGAACCUUCAUGCCAUUAAUUUGGUGUGUUGGGGAAUCAGGACUGUUACUUUGAAAAAUUAGAGUGUUUAAAGCAGGCUAACGUCUGAAUACAUUAGCAUGGAAUAAUGAAAUAGGACGGUACGGUUCUAUUUUGUUGGUUUCUAGGAUCGCCGUAAUGAUUAAUAGGGAUAGUUGGGGGCAUUAGUAUUCAAUUGUCAGAGGUGAAAUUCUUGGAUUUAUUGAAGACUAACUACUGCGAAAGCAUUUGCCAAGGAUGUUUUCAUUAAUCAAGAACGAAAGUUAGGGGAUCGAAGACGAUCAGAUACCGUCGUA